GCUCGAUGUAGGCGGAUAUUAGAGGC
RNAcentral lists this small RNA (26 nucleotides) under Bombyx mori (domestic silkworm). RNAcentral describes it as "ovarian small RNA-17089". Lineage: Eukaryota; Metazoa; Arthropoda; Insecta; Lepidoptera; Bombycidae. The record is from RNAcentral.